UGGGGAAUCUUGGACAAUGGGCGCAAGCCUGAUCCAGCCAUGCCGCGUGGAUGAUGAAGGCCUUAGGGUUGUAAAAUCCUUUCGUGGGGGACGAUAAUGACGGUACCCCAAGAAGAAGCUCCGGCUAACUUCGUGCCAGCAGCCGCGGUAAUACGAAGGGGGCUAGCGUUGUUCGGAUUUACUGGGCGUAAAGCGCGUGUAGGCGGGUCGUUAAGUUGGGGGUGAAAUCCCGAGGCUCAACCUCGGAACUGCCUUCAAAACUGGCGACCUGGACUCAAGCAGAGGCAAGUGGAAUUGCGAGUGUAGAGGUGAAAUUCGUAGAUAUUCGCAGGAACACCAGUGGCGAAGGCGACUUGCUGGGCUUGUAGUGACGCUGAGACGCGAAAGCGUGGGGAGCAAACAGGAUUAGAUACCCGUGUAGUCCCUGAGCGGGCUGGCAAGGCGCAU
Molecule: ribosomal RNA, 447 nt
Filed under: uncultured bacterium
Lineage: Bacteria
Description: bacterial SSU rRNA
Rfam family: Bacterial small subunit ribosomal RNA
Source: RNAcentral